CUCUCUCAUUUCCCAGACUGGUAAACAUAAGAGCCACAUCUAAUGGGCUGCCAUCCCAUGUCCGACUGGGUUGAGAGCGGCUAGCUGAGGUUCAUUGCACGGGGUGCUGAGGCUGAGCAAGGGCUUGUUGUCAGUUUGCACUCAGGCGGAAGCCUCUGAGGUGUCCUUACAAGCCUGGGAUGAAGAUUGGGGAGAGCAGGGGAGGAGCCUGAGGCCAGCUCACACUGGACACCAGCAGAGUGUGGUUCUGACACAGGCCACCCUCAGUCCACCAUGCAGCUAAACCCACUGAGCUCUCUGCACGGAGAACCCUUCGGGGUUUACCACCUUCCUCAUCCUGCUGAACAGGCAUGUUGUGAGAGCUAAGUCCUGCUUUAUAACUGGCACCAGAAAAUGGGGCUUUACUAAGUUGGAGCUUUAUGACAGGUCUGUGUUUUAACUUCUUGUCAGCAGCUUCAUCAGACCCAAAAGGAGUGGGUAACAAGACAGUUUAAAGGCCCGCGAAACCAUUUUAGGAUUCUUUGCAUUAACAUGUUCUAUAGCAGCACCAACCACCAGUGCCAGAUUUACAUUCCAGAAGCUCUUAGCUACUCUUGGCGUAAUUGAACAGGACCAGACAUCCUCCAGGGCGGCAGAAGCCCAUCCGAGUGACAGAUACACAGCUUGGCAUAAUUCGCUCCUGUCAGUCAAACUUGUACAACUACAUAAAAAAGUAAGACCAAAGAAGCCGCCCUUGUCUGUUACUACCACGUGGCCAUCAGACUUUCUCCCGGCAUCCAGAUGGAGGUGACAAGUGUGGAGUGCUCAGGCUGUCUGUUUACUGUUGAUUUUCAACCUGUUGGGUAGGUUGAGGCUCCUGUGCAGAGUCGUUAUGAUGUUCAGAACCUGAAGUCACUUAUUUAAUAAAUAACUCUAUUGGCUAAAACAUGCACUUCCCGAAGUGUUAUCUACUGUGUCUUUUUUCUAAGUCUCAUUCUUUUACCCUCCUGCAGCUCUGAGAAUUGAACCUAGGUCCUCAAACACGCCAGGCAAGUGCUUUACCCCUGAGCUGCAUACUCAGCCCUAAAUCACAC
RNAcentral lists this long non-coding RNA (1073 nucleotides) under Fukomys damarensis (Damara mole-rat). Its description in RNAcentral is "lncRNA (ENSFDAG00000025187.1)". The record is from RNAcentral. Lineage: Eukaryota; Metazoa; Chordata; Mammalia; Rodentia; Bathyergidae.